Molecule: small nucleolar RNA, 107 nt
Organism: Hevea brasiliensis (rubber tree)
Lineage: Eukaryota; Viridiplantae; Streptophyta; Magnoliopsida; Malpighiales; Euphorbiaceae
Source: RefSeq, a predicted model, not a curated record
AUCCCAUGGUGUGGAUAACACCUUAGAAGAUCUUUAUACCUUUCCCAUGUUUCAUAAAGGCUUUCAUCAUCCCUAAGUUAGCAAGAAGUCAAGUCAUUUCUUAGUUU